This 93-nucleotide transfer RNA is filed under the name Polymorphospora rubra. RNAcentral describes it as "tRNA-Arg". The record is from RNAcentral. Lineage: Bacteria; Bacillati; Actinomycetota; Actinomycetes; Micromonosporales; Micromonosporaceae.
GCCGAGCUGGCACCCGGAGCGCUGCGCGGGCUGCGGAUCCUCGUCGGUGGUGAGCCGCUACCCGGCCCGCUCGCUCGGCGCCUGCGCUCGACC